This 26-nucleotide non-coding RNA is filed under the name Mus musculus (house mouse). Lineage: Eukaryota; Metazoa; Chordata; Mammalia; Rodentia; Muridae. The record is from RNAcentral.
UGAAAGGUGCUCUCAAACCCUUCUCC